RNAcentral lists this non-coding RNA (24 nucleotides) under Arabidopsis thaliana (thale cress). The record is from RNAcentral. Lineage: Eukaryota; Viridiplantae; Streptophyta; Magnoliopsida; Brassicales; Brassicaceae.
GAAGUACAAUUAUAGCCGUUCGCC